GACGGAGGGCGCGAACGUUGUUCGGAAUCACUGGGCGUAAAGAGCGCGCAGGCGGCCAAGUCAGUCGAAUGUGAAAGCCCCCGGCUUAACUGGGGAGGGUCAUUCGAUACUGCUCGGCUCGAAGACAGGAGAGGGAAGCGGAAUUCCCGGUGUAGUGGUGAAAUGCGUAGAUAUCGGGAGGAACACCAGUGGCGAAGGCGGCUUUCUGGCCUGUUCUUGACGCUGAGGCGCGAAAGCUAGGGGAGCAAACGGG
RNAcentral lists this ribosomal RNA (253 nucleotides) under uncultured bacterium. RNAcentral describes it as "partial 16S ribosomal RNA". It matches the Rfam family "Bacterial small subunit ribosomal RNA", at positions 524 to 776 of the family's 1533-position model. The record is from RNAcentral.